This 361-nucleotide ribosomal RNA is filed under the name Salmonella enterica subsp. enterica serovar Kentucky. Its description in RNAcentral is "partial 23S ribosomal RNA". It matches the Rfam family "Bacterial large subunit ribosomal RNA", at positions 1 to 389 of the family's 2925-position model. The record is from RNAcentral. Lineage: Bacteria; Pseudomonadati; Pseudomonadota; Gammaproteobacteria; Enterobacterales; Enterobacteriaceae.
GGGUUGUGAGGUUAAGCGACUAAGCGUACACGGUGGAUGCCCUGGCAGUCAGAGGCGAUGAAGGGCGUGCUAAUCUGCGAUAAGCGCCGGUAAGGUGAUAUGAACCGUUAUAACCGGCGAUACCCGAAUGGGGAAACCCAGUGUGACUCGUCACACUAUCAUUAACUGAAUCCAUAGGUUAAUGAGGCGAACCGGGGGAACUGAAACAUCUAAGUACCCCGAGGAAAAGAAAUCAACCGAGAUUCCCCCAGUAGCGGCGAGCGAACGGGGAGGAGCCCAGAGCCUGAAUCAGCAUGUGUGUUAGUGGAAGCGUCUGGAAAGGCGCGCGAUACAGGGUGACAGCCCCGUACACAAAAGCGCA